This 604-nucleotide ribosomal RNA is filed under the name uncultured Actinomycetes bacterium. RNAcentral describes it as "bacterial SSU rRNA". It matches the Rfam family "Bacterial small subunit ribosomal RNA", at positions 252 to 866 of the family's 1533-position model. The record is from RNAcentral. Lineage: Bacteria; Bacillati; Actinomycetota; Actinomycetes.
GUGAGGUAUCGGCUCACCAAGGCGACGACGGGUAGCCGGCCUGAGAGGGCGACCGGCCACACUGGGACUGAGACACGGCCCAGACUCCUACGGGAGGCAGCAGUGGGGAAUAUUGCGCAAUGGGCGAAAGCCUGACGCAGCAACGCCGCGUGCGGGAUGAAGGCCUUCGGGUUGUAAACCGCUUUCAGCAGGGAAGAAGCGAAAGUGACGGUACCUGCAGAAGAAGCACCGGCUAACUACGUGCCAGCAGCCGCGGUAAUACGUAGGGUGCAAGCGUUGUCCGGAUUUAUUGGGCGUAAAGAGCUCGUAGGCGGUUAGUCACGUCGGAUGUGAAAUCCCAGUGCUUAACACUGGGCCUGCAUUCGAUACGGGCUGACUAGAGUGUUGUAGGGGAGACUGGAAUUCCUGGUGUAGCGGUGAAAUGCGCAGAUAUCAGGAAGAACACCGGUGGCGAAGGCGGGUCUCUGGGCAACUACUGACGCUGAGGAGCGAAAGCGUGGGGAGCGAACAGGAUUAGAUACCCUGGUAGUCCACGCCGUAAACGGUGGGCGCUAGGUGUGGGGAACAUUCCACGUUCUCCGUGCCGCAGCUAAUGCAUUAAGCG